UGUUUUCCCCAAGGGUGGGGAAUAGAUGAGGCAGGGCGGUCCAGCUAGGUGCAGACCUAUGAUCAACAGAGGUUCUUUUGGGCUAACUGUUCUACUAACCCCAGUCUUCCCCCAGCCACCUGCCUGCCUUCUUGCUUAAAACCAGCCCAGGAGGUAACACUGGCUGCCUGUUUCCUCCUCAGGUUCAGUGUUGCCAUUGCAGGGAGGAGGACGGGGCAAAACUAUAAUUUAGGCCUUCUUCUUGAGAGAAGAAGGCAAAACUGCCACAUGAGAGCUGGGAGGGUCCACCCUCCUUGGAAUAAAGGUUAAGAUAUAUUGUUGAUACAUUGUAUAUCAACAAUAUAAGAUAUAUCAACAAAUUAUGUUCUGUUUUAUGGGUUUCCCCUUUUCUUUUCUUUUCUUUUCUUUUCUUUUCUUUUAUCUUCUUUUCUCUUCUUUUCUCUUCUUUUCUCUUUCUUACUUCUUCUCUUUCUUAUUGUUUUCCUUCAUUUAGAUUAGUUUGAUUUUCUGGUAUUUUAUGCUGAAAACUUUUAAUUUAAAAUUUUAUUUUUAAAAAGGAAGAGGCCUUGCUGCUUCUCUCUAUUGCUUGGGAGGUGAUGCCUUUCCAGACAUGGUGCCUUCUGAAACACCUAUACACACUUCCCUGGGAGUAAGCAGUGGGACUUAUUUCUGAUCAAAUAUGUAUCUUACCUCUCAGGAGAAUAUGUGAUUGCAGCUAUCACUGAGUUGUUUAAUCAAGUGAUAUAUAUAUAUAUAUAUAUAUAUAUAUAUAUAUAUAUAUAUGAGAAUGAGAGAGAAAUUGGGGUUGGCAGUUGGCUUUUAGUGUGCAAUUCCUUAACAAGGGGUUCAAUGUCAUCCAUUAUUGGUCAGAGAGAAAUGAGUGGAGGCAGGAACCAGUAGAAGAAAAGCAAGAUUUUUAUUUUUCUGUUACAACAGCGUCCCAUCCCAUCAACACACCCACUCCUUAUAUGCAGGUGAAGACCCAGAGAAAGAUGUGUAACAGCUUUUAACGGCUUUAUAAAUUGCCCAACCCCUUAGCCAAAGGCCACCCAAAGGCAUCAUACAAGGAGUGUGUGACUUGUCUCUUUUCUCUCAAGAUACCUGAUAAUGCUUGCUGAUUGCCUUAUCCUGGCCGGUCUUGAGGCACUCUUUUGAAAUGGUAAAUACUCUAGUUCUUGAAACCAUUCUCACAGACCUCCCCUAUUUAUACACAAAAUAUAGUCUGCCUCUCUUUUUCCCUGACAAGGAUUACUGUGCCCAGUGCUGUCACCACCCGGAGGUCAUAAAUGACAAUUGAACUUUGAAAGAUAGAAUAUACAGAUAACACAGAUAAUGAGUGUCCCGAAUGAAGAACUGCCAUCAUUGCAAGAGAGCUGCGACAUUUUAAUAUUGAUAUUGCAGCGCUUCAAGGAACUCGAAGAGCAGGUAAGGGACAACUGAAGGAAGAAAAAGGAGGCUACACUUUCUUCUGGAAAGGUCUACCUGAACAAGAAUGUCGAAUACAUGGAGUAGGCUUUGCUAUGAAAAAACAAUCUUGUGAAGCUCUUGUCAGAAGUCGCAUUAAUGAGCGACUUUCAACACUUCGAAUAAAACUCGCUAAAAAACCAACAGGCUACUAGUCUAAGCACUUACACACCAACACUGGAUGCUGAUGAAAACAUUAAAGAAAAAUUUUACUCUCAGCUGGAUACCAUCCUAUCUGGGCGAGAUUUUGAUCUGUGGCCUGGGACUAUUGGGAAAGAAGGAAUUGGCAACAGCAACCAGAACAGAAUCUUACUUUUUAUUAUAUGUGCAGCACACAACUUUGUUAUUAACAACACACUCUUUCAUCAAAAAAAUAAAUUUAAAACCACUGGUACCUUUGACUUAGACUAUGUAGUUGUCCAAGCAUAAGAUUGCCGUGAUGUGCUCCUUACCAGAGCUAUGACGAGUGCCAACGAAUGCUGGACAGAUCACCGAUUAAUAUGCUCCACAAUGGCUAUCAAGCUUGUACCUCAACACAGGCUUCAAGGGAACCAAGGUGCAAAAUGAACACUCAAUCCCUUCAAGAGCCUAUUAAUCGGGAUUGCUUCCAAAUGAUUCAUAAGGACCAUCUGCUUUUGGAGUUCU
Molecule: long non-coding RNA, 2109 nt
Filed under: Podarcis lilfordi (Lilford's wall lizard)
Lineage: Eukaryota; Metazoa; Chordata; Lepidosauria; Squamata; Lacertidae
Source: RNAcentral